UGACUGUGCUAAGGUAGCAUAAUAAUUUGUCCUUUUAAUGGGGACUGGAAUGAAGGGUGUACUGGAGAUAGGCUAAUGAUUUUACUGUAUCAUUGAAGUUAAAAUUUAAGUUAAAAUUCUUAAAUAAUUUUAAAGGACGAGAAGACCCUGUGGAUCUUUACUGUGUAUUAAUUUAUUUAUUUUAAUUUGGCUGAACUGAGAAAUGGUUUAAUUGGGACGAUUCUAUAUUAACUAUAUCAUUAGCAAUUAUUUAGAUCCUAAGUAAGGAAAAAAGAUUAAGUUACCCCAGGGAUAACAGCGUUAUAUUAUCGGAUAGUUCAUAUUGAUGAUAAUGUUUGCGACCUCGAUGUUGAAUUAAA
This 359-nucleotide ribosomal RNA is filed under the name Bradleystrandesia sp. Its description in RNAcentral is "partial large subunit ribosomal RNA". It matches the Rfam family "Bacterial large subunit ribosomal RNA", at positions 1943 to 2541 of the family's 2925-position model. Lineage: Eukaryota; Metazoa; Arthropoda; Ostracoda; Podocopida; Cyprididae. The record is from RNAcentral.